Molecule: ribosomal RNA, 460 nt
Filed under: uncultured bacterium
Lineage: Bacteria
Description: partial 16S ribosomal RNA
Rfam family: Bacterial small subunit ribosomal RNA
Source: RNAcentral
CCUACGGGAGGCAGCAGUGAGGAAUAUUGGUCAAUGGGCGCGAGCCUGAACCAGCCAAGUAGCGUGAAGGAUGACUGCCCUACGGGUUGUAAACUUCUUUUAUAAAGGAAUAAAGUGAGGCACGUGUGCCUUUUGGUCUGUACUUUAUGAAUAAGGAUCGGCUAACUCCGUGCAAGCAGCCGCGGUAAUACGGAGGAUCCGAGCGUUAUCCGGAUUUAUUGGGUUUAAAGGGAGCGGAGGCCGGGCUUUAAGCGUGCCGUGAAAUUGUGUGGCUCAACCAUGGGAGUGCGGCGCGAACUGGAGACCUGGAGUGCGCGGAAGGCAGGCGGAAUUCGUGGUGUAGCGGUGAAAUGCGUAGAUAUCACGAAGAACCCCGAUUGCGAAGGCAGCUUGCCGCAGCGUUACUGACGCUGAAGCUCGAAAGCGCGGGUAUCGAACAGGAUUAGAUACCCCAGUAGUC